CCUCUGAAAUUUCUGUUUUUGAAGAAAAAGAACACAGAUCUCUUUAUGGCAGCAGAUGAUGCGCAUGUUUGUAGAAUGCCUAGUGCUCGGGAUUGCUUUGGGCCGAAUUCAAGCGGCAUUGAACCACGCAAAGUUUACUUCAACCAUACUGAUACAGUUGAACGCAGAGAGUAUGGCCCCCCUGCUGGUGCUAAUUUUAUGCCACCAAGCCCUCGCAAUCCGCAAGAACGAACUCCGACUUGUCUUGGGAUUGAAAUAAAGUAAGGAACUAGCUUUGGCUACAAUUUAAUUUUUUCUGUUUCAGUUGAAUUUGUUUGAUUUUCCCAUAUCAUGACAAAAUAGUUUGAUUUGUUGAUUGAAAACCUCUUCUUUCAUUUCGUGUCAUAUCAUGAAUUUGUUUCAGUUGAAUUUGUUUGAUUUUCCCGUAUCUGGCUACUUGGUUGUUGAUGUUGCGAUAUUUGGCGUUGGAUCUUUUGAAAAUAUUCUAGUAUAAGAAUUCCUGAUUCCCCAAAGCCGUAUCCUUACAGGCAGAGCUGAUGCUUUUACCUACCUUCAGAUUUAUUUUAUUUUUAUUUUCUAUGUAUUUCAUGUUUCACCUUCUCAAAGCUAUGCCUCAAUUUACAACCUAGAAAGCAAAUUGGAAUCCAACUGUAUGAUUAAUAAAGUUUAAGUUUUUAAAUUUGGUUCAAAGCAUGCGAUUCGUGGUCUGGUGAGUCAAUUUUUCAAUUGAGGAAUAGAUGUGGUGCAUAUCCUCAACUAUUUUCCAUUUGAUGGAUGGAUGAUGGCUCUGAGGUUCUAAUCUUUAUGAUUUAUGAGUUUGAAACUGACAGGUCUAUAUUAUGGGAAAUUUUUGGGAUACAAGCUGUUUGGGCUGGGUAUGAACUUAAUGGUGUCACAUACUGAUUUUCUCAUUGUAUUUUGCCCAGUGUUCUUCCUGAAUGUAUCUCAUUGAGUGUUUCCUUUUAUGGGGUUUUUUUUUUUCUUCUUCAUGUAAAUCCUAUUUAGAGUGUUGUGUGAAAAUCAAUCUCUUUCAACCCUCUAAAUACCUCCUAAUAUACCCAUUUUUGCUUUGAUACUUGUUCAUUGUAUGGUUAAUGCUUGUGAAUUCAAAGGAAAAGAUCCAAUGCAGGUCUUUCUCCCCAGUGGUGCAUAAUGUGUUGGGUAAUCACAACUGCAUGUAGUUCAUUUUUUGUGAGACCCAUGGAGUUAAGUAGGUCAAAGUUUAAGGAAACUGCCUUGUGCUAACUGUGUUUGUGUAAUUUGGACUCAUUAGUUGAUUUUUGAGAAUCAUAGUGGGGAGGGAGGAAAGGUGUUAUGGGGAUAAAGGGAUAUUCGGUCUUUACUUUGAGCUUCUAUGACUGGAAAAUUUGGGACAUUUCAUUUUCUUCAACGAUAGAAGCUGUUAGGAUUUGGAUAUAAACGCAAAGGCUUUUUUGCAAAUUUUGCCCCCUACAUUAUAUGGUCAUUGUCGAUGACUCCUUAAUUAGUUUUUUAAGAAACUUUGGGCCUAGACUAUUUUAAUUAGCCAAUUUAAACCCCCACCAUUAAGUUUCUACACAUUUCAUCCGAUUUUGAUCUAAUAGUGUCACUCGAUGGGCACUUGUGACACUUUAUAGAGCCAAUUGGUCUUUUCAAGCCAGGGUUGAACUGAUUUUGAAGUAUUUAAGAUCUUUUACACACCAACACUUCAGAAUCAGUUACAAGUUGGUGUUGAAAAGAACAAUUUAUCUUCAGAAGUGUUACAGGUGACAUAAUUGGGUGGCAAAUUGGAUGGAAUGUUUAGAAAUUUGACGGUGGGGAUAAAUUGGCUAAUUAAAAUAGUUAGAAGUCCCAAAAUUUCCAAAAGAAUAAUUCAGGGGGGAAAUUUACUGUGGCCUAUAUAAUUCAGGGGUGAAUUGUAAAAUUUCUCUAAACUCAAUGUGGUUACCUUACCUACUGAUUUUGGAAGGUAUUUCGUUCAAUUUUCAUUUGUAGUAAAAUGAAUGUUCUUCAUAAAUGUGACUCUUUGCUCCUGUGGUUCAUAUUGUGAGACAAUUCUCCGUUUUAGAGUACUUGUACUAGCGGAUCCAUUAAGGGUCCAGUGAAGGCACUUGCCUUCACUUAGUCAUGUUGUUUACCUAUCUGUGUGCCAAGUUUUCAUAAAACAUUUUGUGGAAUGAUGGCAAGAUGUUGAUAAAAUGUCUCAAAGAAGACUAAGGCAGGGGAAGUGGGUCAACCUCUACCCCUCUACUUAUGUUAUUCUUCUGGUUCUCUCGACUCACGCUUCUCAUUAUUCUCUUUGUGUCGUGCAGUAGAGAAUUAGGUAGAAGGUUUAGAUUUUGUAGUAUCUAAUUUGUGCAUGGAUAUGUUUAUAUGAUGUGUUUUUUGACAUUUAAGAGUCGACUUAUCUUCACUAUUAGUAGUAGUGUAUUUUUCUCCGGGAAAGAAACUUCCUGGAUCUGCCACUUGUGCUUGCCCUUGAAGGGUAGUAGCCAAUACAUGAUUUGGCAUAUGCUGCUUUCAGUAGUUUUAUUAUCCUAAGCUGUGAACUUUUUAGCGUACCAGGUCACUUAUUCUUUCAUUUUAUGACACCUCCUGAUGUGAUAUUCUUAAACUGUGCAUUUUGUCAUGUCUUGCUAAUCUCAAAUUUUGGCUUUGCAGGACAUUGUUAAAGAUCUUUAGGGCUCGGAAGGAACAAGGAAAGCAGUCCUGAAUCAUUCCUCAUAUCUAAUGUACAUGGUAGACGCUUAUGUUAAGGUUUGAUAAUUGUAAUUAUAUUCCUUUUAUUUGUUUUACUAGUGUAUGGAGGAGUAGCGAUUGUGUCCCUCUAUUUGAUGUAUACAUUUAAUUUACCUGAUAUCGGAUUUGCUUUUCUUUUGUAUGGCAGCGGCAAGGCUCUGGCUCCCUCUU
RNAcentral lists this long non-coding RNA (2889 nucleotides) under Prunus dulcis (almond). RNAcentral's name for it is "sRNA ncRNA". Lineage: Eukaryota; Viridiplantae; Streptophyta; Magnoliopsida; Rosales; Rosaceae. The record is from RNAcentral.